CCUACGGGGGGCAGCAGUGAGGAAUAUUGGUCAAUGGGCUUACGCCUGAACCAGCCAAGUCGCGUGAGGGAAGACUGCCCUAUGGGUUGUAAACCUCUUUUGUCAGGGAGCAAUUGGCGCUACGUGUAGCGUUAUCGAGAGUACCUGAAGAAAAAGCAUCGGCUAAUUCCGUGCCAGCAGCCUCGGUAAUACGGAGGAUGCGAGCGUUAUCCGGUUUUAUUGGGUUUAAAGGGUUCGUGGGCGGAAUGCAAAGUCAGCGGGAAAAUCUCGGGGCUCAACCUCGCUCUGCAGUUGAAACUGGCGUUCUUGAGUGGGCGAGAAGUAUGCGGAAUGCGUGGUGUAGCGGUGAAAUGCAUAGAUAUCACGCAGAACUCCGAUUGCGAAGGCAGCAUACCGGCGCCCAACUGACGCUGAAGCACGAAAGCGUGGGUAUCGAACAGGAUUAGAUACCCGUGUAGUC
RNAcentral lists this ribosomal RNA (460 nucleotides) under uncultured bacterium. Its description in RNAcentral is "partial 16S ribosomal RNA". It matches the Rfam family "Bacterial small subunit ribosomal RNA", at positions 338 to 795 of the family's 1533-position model. The record is from RNAcentral.